This 478-nucleotide ribosomal RNA is filed under the name uncultured bacterium. RNAcentral's name for it is "partial 16S ribosomal RNA". It matches the Rfam family "Bacterial small subunit ribosomal RNA", at positions 28 to 523 of the family's 1533-position model. The record is from RNAcentral.
GACGAACGCUGGCGGCGUGCUUAACACAUGCAAGUCGAACGGUAAGGCCCUUCGGGGUACACGAGUGGCGAACGGGUGAGUAACACGUGGGUGAUCUGCCCUGCACUUCGGGAUAAGCCUGGGAAACUGGGUCUAAUACCGGAUAGGACCACUGCCUGCAUGGGUGGUGGUGGAAAGCUUUUGCGGUGUGGGAUGGGCCCGCGGCCUAUCAGCUUGUUGGUGGGGGGAUGGCCUACCACGGCGACGGCGGGUAGCCGGCCUGAGAGGGUGACCGGCCACACUGGGACUGAGAUACGGCCCAGACUCCUACGGGAGGCAGCAGUGGGGAAUAUUGCACAAUGGGCGCAAGCCUGAUGCAGCGACGCCGCGUGAGGGAUGACGGCCUUCGGGUUGUAAACCUCUUUCAGCACCGACGAAGCGCAAGUGACGGUAGGUGCAGAAGAAGGACCGGCCAACUACGUGCCAGCAGCCGCGGUAA